Molecule: ribosomal RNA, 495 nt
Filed under: uncultured bacterium
Lineage: Bacteria
Description: partial 16S ribosomal RNA
Rfam family: Bacterial small subunit ribosomal RNA
Source: RNAcentral
GAUGAACGCUGGCGGCGUGCCUAAUACAUGCAAGUCGAGCGAACGGACGAGAAGCUUGCUUCUCUGAUGUUAGCGGCGGACGGGUGAGUAACACGUGGAUAACCUACCUAUAAGACUGGGAUAACUUCGGGAAACCGGAGCUAAUACCGGAUAAUAUUUUGAACCGCAUGGUUCAAAAGUGAAAGACGGUCUUGCUGUCACUUAUAGAUGGAUCCGCGCUGCAUUAGCUAGUUGGUAAGGUAACGGCUUACCAAGGCAACGAUGCAUAGCCGACCUGAGAGGGUGAUGGCCCACACUGAAACUGACACACGGUCCAGACUCCUAGGGGGGGCAGAGGUGGGAAAUCUUCCGAAAUGGGCGAAAGCCUGACGGAGCAACGCCGCGUGAGUAAUGAAGUUCUUCGGAUCGUAAAACUCUUUUAUUAGGGAAAAACAUAUGUGUAAGUAACUGUGCACAUCUUGGCGGUACCAAAUCAGAAAGCCCCCGCAAACUCCG